GGAUUAGAUACCCUGGUAGUCCAUGCCGUAAACGUUGGGCACUAGGUGUGGGGCUCAUUCCACGAGUUCCGUGCCGCAGCAAACGCAUUAAGUGCCCCGCCUGGGGAGUACGGCCGCAAGGCUAAAACUCAAAGGAAUUGACGGGGGCCCGCACAAGCGGCGGAGCAUGCGGAUUAAUUCGAUGCAACGCGAAGAACCUUACCAAGGCUUGACAUGCACGGGAAGCCACCAGAGAUGGUGGUCUCUUUGGACACUCGUGCACAGGUGGUGCAUGGUUGUCGUCAGCUCGUGCCG
This 294-nucleotide ribosomal RNA is filed under the name uncultured bacterium. Its description in RNAcentral is "partial 16S ribosomal RNA". It matches the Rfam family "Bacterial small subunit ribosomal RNA", at positions 775 to 1067 of the family's 1533-position model. The record is from RNAcentral.